RNAcentral lists this unclassified non-coding RNA (2599 nucleotides) under Leishmania donovani. Its description in RNAcentral is "gene:unknown". The record is from RNAcentral. Lineage: Eukaryota; Euglenozoa; Kinetoplastea; Trypanosomatida; Trypanosomatidae.
UGGUUCAUAAACAGGAAAAACAACAACAAAAAUAAAGAAAACGGAACAAGCGAGCAAAGGAACACGCAAGGCAAGCACGAAACACACGCGAACCCAUUGCAGCAGAAGCAAUUGCGAAGAAGAACAACCACAAAAAAAAGAAGAACUCUGCGUCUUCUCCUUCCCUUUCUCCCCCCUCAAAGAAGGAAGGAGCAACUUGACGCAAACGGCUGCACCGGCUCACUGACACACACACACACACACACACACACACGUACACACACACACGUACACCUGCACGUUGCCGCGGCGCGGGGUCGCACACGAGGAGUGGUAGACGCAUCCAUCUCAUCAGCACUGCGUCUGUUUUCCCCCGCUUCAUCCCCCUGCUCACUCUUCGCCACUCUUCGCCUCGCUUUCGAGUCUCUGGUGCACUUCUGAGUGGGCUUUCGCGUAGCUCAGCGUCUUCCGAGAGCAUCUGAGCUUGCUGCUUCUUUUUUUCUUCGUAUUUCUGUUCAGUCCCGCCCCCCACUCCCGCUUCGUCCCUGCUGCUCCUGUUGCCCUUUUUACUGUUUGUUGCUGUGUGUGUGUGCAAUCUGCCCGUGUAUUGGAUUCCUUUCGUUUCCUUUACGGUAAAGCGUUUUGUGGUGUCUCAUUUCCUUUUUUUUACGGUUUCUUCUCCCCCUUGUUUUCUUUCUUUUCUUGUUCUUUGUGGUCGAUCUCUCCUCUCGCUCCUCUGCCCCUUCCGUGUCGCUCCUGUCCUGUCCGUCCAUCGUGCAGCGCCGUCUCUCCGGGAGUUUUCUUUGUUUUCCCCCUUUUCUAUCUCUACACCUUUCCCGUUGUGGCUUCUGUCUUUUUCUUUCGCUCUUGUGUUUGUGCCUGUGUGUGUGUGUGUGAUUUGCUUUCCUCUCCCUCACGCUCAACAACAAACAGAAACAAACUCACUUCUCUCCUCUCCUUUCUUUUGUGUUGUUCUUCAAAAAAAAAGUUUAUUUUCUUUCUCGCUUCUCUCUCGCUACUUGGAUUUCCCCCCCUCCCCUACGUGUGUUCUUUCCCUCCCUCCUUUUCUUUUUUUUUUCGGGUCUUCUCUCUUCGUCCUGUUCAGUGUUCUCUCAACACGAUACGUGAGCUUCUCUGUCUUUACGCUGUUUUCUGAUUUUACUCGUGCUUUUUGACGGCUUGUGGCUCUUUCAGUUGGGGAGAACGUACCUCGCUGAAGGCGUGCGUGGUUUUUGUGUGUGUGUGUGUCUCCCUCUCUAUGCCUCUGUGUGUGUCUGAGUCUGUGCUUCAUCGACAACCUUCUUGCUUCCUCUCUCCUGUAGCUCUUUCGUUUUUCUUUUCAGCCUGUCUUCUUUAUUGGUGUCUGCUCUCUAGUUCCUGUCUUAUCUCUCAGCCAUCUUUUUGUUUACAGCUGUUGUAGUCAUAUAUAUAUAUAUAUCUUCCACCCUCCCUCCCCCUCCCCCAGGUUUUGUUUUACCUCCUGUUAUAUUUCUUUCCUGCACCUUCCCCCUCCCCCGACUUUCUUUUGUUUGUUGGCUAACUCGUCUUCUUGUUCUGCUCUUUUUUUAUUUUUCGCGCCCCACCCCCUCUUCCUUCGCUCUCCUCCGUCGGUCUGCACGUCUGUGUGGGCCUGCGUCUCUUUCUGUCUUUGUCUGUCGCAGGCUCACGCCUCCCCUUCUUGUUGACCAACGACAACAGGACUUGCUUCGCUUCCUUCUCUGUUUCUCGGGGCCACUACCGCUGAUAGGAUUUCGAAUAACACCAUCUCUCUAUCUAUAUAUAUCUAUAUAUAUUCUGCUUGUCUUUACGUCUUGGGUUUCACCUUGGUUUUAUUUCCUUUGUUUUCAUCCUUUUUUUCCUGCGCUCCGCUCCCCUCCCUCCCUCCCUAACACACUCGGCAUCAUCUCCUUGUUUGUUUCUGCAUCUGCUUCGACGCCUUCCUCUCACUCUCUGCUCUGCCGCUGCCCGCCGCCUCCCUGCCAGCUUACCUGCUCACAGAAGAACGAGGAAACGCAACACAGGUUUUCCUUUUCCUCUUUUUCCACCUCUACGCCGAAGAAGUGUGUCGUGCUAGGACUGAGCACACGCGCGCACACACACAAGAAAGAAAGAGUUUCACCGAAGGCAGACGCGAAACCACAAUUGCGCGUGAGAGUACUUAUUCGCGUAAACCUCUCACUCGCAGUUGUGCGGCUGUGUACCCGUGUGGCUUGCCACUUCUACGGCCUUUUUCCCGUCGUUGUCGUUUUCGUUGCUGCUUUUCUUGCGCGGUUUCCAAGAGGACAGCCGCCACGCAAAUUGGAAACAGCCAACAGCAGGGCACGGCGGCAAGGGGAGCCAAAAAAAAAGAGAGAGGCAGCAACGCGAAGGAAGACGUGGCCAAAGAGAAAGAGAGAGAGACGCAUAUUGGGCGCUGACAUUUUACUUCUCUUUCGGGAGGCGCUUCUUCGACACGCAGGGAACACAUCGGGUGCUACAGCAGAGCGUCCGGGCCGGCAACUGGAGAAGUGUAGCGCAUACCACACGCUGGCUGUACCCGAUAAAAGAGGAACAAAAAAAGGCGUUUAGCCGACAGAGCAGUUAGGGCGCAGGUAGACGAGGUUUGUUACCAGCAGGAAAC